GAAAAUUUAGUUAAAGUAUAACAUCAAUUUGUCAAAUUGAAAUUAAUUUAAAUAUUAAUUUUUA
Molecule: transfer RNA, 64 nt
Filed under: Pelecyphorus foveolatus
Lineage: Eukaryota; Metazoa; Arthropoda; Insecta; Coleoptera; Tenebrionidae
Description: tRNA-Asp
Source: RNAcentral